CACACACACUGUUCUACUUCACGUGCCUAGCUGACACCUGACUUCCCCAGGGAGAGAGGGAAGGCCAAGAUUCAAUCACAUUCCGUCCCCUUGCCUGACACGGGUAGUGGGAGACGAGCCUUACUGUGAACUGUGAGAGGCGGUAGCCAGGAGACAGUCAGACUUUCAUCACGUCUGGAGGGCCACACAAAAGCCGUUCAUCCCACUCAGGAACAUAUGGCCUGCACUCACCUCCACAGGCGGGGAGAAUGGCCUCACCCUGCCUGCCUGGCUGCCGGGGCGCUGUGAGG
Long non-coding RNA from Equus quagga, 290 nucleotides. RefSeq lists it as uncharacterized. The transcript has 3 exons. The record is from RefSeq and is a predicted model, not a curated record. NCBI's taxonomy places the organism in Eukaryota, Metazoa, Chordata, Mammalia, Perissodactyla, Equidae.